AGUGAGCGCUGGCGGUAGGCCUAACACAUGCAAGUCGAACGGCAGCACAGUAAGAGCUUGCUCUUACGGGUGGCGAGUGGCGGACGGGUGAGGAAUACAUCGGAAUCUACUUUUUCGUGGGGGAUAACGUAGGGAAACUUACGCUAAUACAGCAUACGACCUACGGGUGAAAGCAGGGGAUCUUCGGACCUUGCGCGAUUGAAUGAGCCGAUGUCGGAUUAGCUAGUUGGCGGGGUAAAGGCCCACCAAGGCGACGAUCCGUAGCUGGUCUGAGAGGAUGAUCAGCCACACUGGAACUGAGACACGGUCCAGACUCCUACGGGAGGCAGCAGUGGGGAAUAUUGGACAAUGGGCGCAAGCCUGAUCCAGCCAUACCGCGUGUGUGAAGAAGGCCUUCGGGUUGUAAAGCCCUUUUGUUGGGAAAGAAAAGCAGCAGGUUAAUACCCCGCUGUUCUGACGGUACCCAAAGAAUAAGCACCGGCUAACUUCGUG
RNAcentral lists this ribosomal RNA (492 nucleotides) under uncultured bacterium. RNAcentral describes it as "partial 16S ribosomal RNA". It matches the Rfam family "Bacterial small subunit ribosomal RNA", at positions 29 to 507 of the family's 1533-position model. The record is from RNAcentral.